UACGGAGGGAGCUAGCGUUCAACGGAAUUACUGGGCGUAAAGCGCGCGUAGGCGGUUUGGUAAGUCGGAUGUGAAAGCCCAGGGCGUAACCUUGGAAUUGCAUUCGAUACUGCUGAACUAGAGUAUGGUAGAGGGAAGUGGAAUUUCCGGUGUAGCGGUGAAAUGCGUAGAGAUCGGAAGGAACACCAGUGGCGAAGGCGACUUCCUGGGCCAAUACUGACGCUGAGGUGCGAAAGCGUGGGGAGCAAACAGG
RNAcentral lists this unclassified non-coding RNA (253 nucleotides) under uncultured Gammaproteobacteria bacterium. RNAcentral describes it as "contains 16S-23S intergenic spacer region". It matches the Rfam family "Bacterial small subunit ribosomal RNA", at positions 524 to 776 of the family's 1533-position model. The record is from RNAcentral. Lineage: Bacteria; Pseudomonadati; Pseudomonadota; Gammaproteobacteria.